AUAUUUUAAAGUAUCUAACUUUCUUAAUAUCUUCAAUAUUAUACUUUAUAUAAGCUAUUAAAAUA
RNAcentral lists this transfer RNA (65 nucleotides) under Broxylus pendolensis. RNAcentral's name for it is "tRNA-Phe". Lineage: Eukaryota; Metazoa; Arthropoda; Insecta; Coleoptera; Lycidae. The record is from RNAcentral.